RNAcentral lists this long non-coding RNA (951 nucleotides) under Homo sapiens (human). Its description in RNAcentral is "HSALNT0306031". Lineage: Eukaryota; Metazoa; Chordata; Mammalia; Primates; Hominidae. The record is from RNAcentral.
CUUAUUACAAUCACAAAGGAGGAAGCGGGGAUUUAUGACUUCAUGCAGUUUAAACCACCUGCCUGCCUAAGUGGCAAAGCUAGCUGCUCACAGGACAGCUCUGAAUCUGACUAAGCUUAUUCCAUCAAACUUCACUCCAGAAUUUUCAAAUCACCGAACCCCAAAGUUAUGGGAAUUUGUUGCCAAGGGAGAAAGACAGUGGAAUUUCUGCUUUCCUGAUCUGCAGAAACUAUAAAACUGACCCAAUAGAUAUGGAUAUCGCCUCAUCAGCAAAGCAGCACUCUCGCAUAUUCUUUCCUGAAGGUAUAAUCCAACAUUAAAUUCAGGAUUUAUAUAGUUUCAAUAUGCUCCUCAUUGAUUCCAGAUUAGACUGUAUUGCCUGCCCUCAUGAGAUGUGUUUCUCCUCCAAGAAUUCCUGAUAGUCCUCUGGUGUGUAUGUGUGUGCACUCAUGCAUUUGGCUUUCAGCUACAGCCACCAUAUGGCGACUACCACACUUACCCUUCUCCUGCAAGAGGCACACAGCCUACCCUGAGUUUUCCGGUGGUUCUGAACAGGGGCCCAAAGAUGCCUGUGACUCAGGCUCUCCAUCACCAUUACAAUAGAAAGAAUGGACAUACAAAGAAUCACAUUUGCCUUCCACUUCUGCAAUUUGCUGACCCUAGCAGACUACACGAACUAGAUGAUUGGAACUCCUCAAGGGUAACCUCUGUAAGACUGCAGACUUAAAGGUUGUCAGCAACUUGGCUUAUAUCUGCAGUGGCUUUGUUUCUCUCCAGUGCAUAAACCAAAGGUAAAAUUGGACUCACGAGCUAACCUUUACCACCAGGCAUUCUUUUACUUGAAGAUGAUAAUAGACUUUCCUUGUGGUGGAAGUUGUGCGCCAUGAGUGCCCUCUCUUGUGUCACCGUACGAGUGUGUAAAGUAAGAAGUGCAGGCAGGGAGUAGCAGGA